This 473-nucleotide ribosomal RNA is filed under the name uncultured bacterium. RNAcentral's name for it is "bacterial SSU rRNA". It matches the Rfam family "Bacterial small subunit ribosomal RNA", at positions 355 to 825 of the family's 1533-position model. The record is from RNAcentral.
UGGGGAAUUUUGGACAAUGGGGGCAACCCUGAUCCAGCCAUGCCGCGUGAGUGAAGAAGGCCUUCGGGUUGUAAAGCUCUUUCGGACGGAACGAAAUGGUCAGGGUGAAUAUCCCUGACUGAUGACGGUACUGUAAGAAGAAGCACCGGCUAACUACGUGCCAGCAGCCGCGGUAAUACGUAGGGUGCGAGCGUUAAUCGGAAUUACUGGGCGUAAAGGGUGCGCAGGCGGCCGCGCAAGUCAGGUGUGAAAUCCCCGGGCUUAACCUGGGAAUUGCGCUUGAAACUAUGCGGCUAGAGUGUGGCAGAGGGGGGUGGAAUUCCACGUGUAGCAGUGAAAUGCGUAGAGAUGUGGAGGAACACCGAUGGCGAAGGCAGCCCCCUGGGCCAACACUGACGCUCAGGCACGAAAGCGUGGGGAGCAAACAGGAUUAGAUACCCCCGUAGUCCCCUGAGCGGGCUGGCAAGGCGCAU